AAAGGUUUAAUCAUGGUCAAAAAAGGGCUUGUCUCUUUUUUGACUUAACCAUGAUCUAUCCACUAUGUGCAUUUAUUGAAAUAUGCUUUGGCAAGGACGAAAGUUCUUGUCAGAGAUUUUCUUUAAUACCCUUAAAUGUUUGACUGAUAAAAUUUUUAAAAUAAUAAAAAUA
Molecule: unclassified non-coding RNA, 172 nt
Filed under: uncultured fungus
Lineage: Eukaryota; Fungi
Description: sequence contains ITS1, 5.8S rRNA gene
Source: RNAcentral